This 700-nucleotide ribosomal RNA is filed under the name uncultured Pseudomonadota bacterium. Its description in RNAcentral is "bacterial SSU rRNA". It matches the Rfam family "Bacterial small subunit ribosomal RNA", at positions 60 to 747 of the family's 1533-position model. Lineage: Bacteria; Pseudomonadati; Pseudomonadota. The record is from RNAcentral.
AGUCGAACGGCAGCACAGUAAGAGCUUGCUCUUAUGGGUGGCGAGUGGCGGACGGGUGAGGAAUACAUCGGAAUCUACUCUGUCGUGGGGGAUAACGUAGGGAAACUUACGCUAAUACCGCAUACGACCUACGGGUGAAAGCAGGGGAUCUUCGGACCUUGCGCGAUUGAAUGAGCCGAUGUCGGAUUAGCUAGUUGGCGGGGUAAAGGCCCACCAAGGCGACGAUCCGUAGCUGGUCUGAGAGGAUGAUCAGCCACACUGGAACUGAGACACGGUCCAGACUCCUACGGGAGGCAGCAGUGGGGAAUAUUGGACAAUGGGCGCAAGCCUGAUCCAGCCAUACCGCGUGGGUGAAGAAGGCCUUCGGGUUGUAAAGCCCUUUUGUUGGGAAAGAAAUCCAGCCGGCUAAUACCUGGUUGGGAUGACGGUACCCAAAGAAUAAGCACCGGCUAACUUCGUGCCAGCAGCCGCGGUAAUACGAAGGGUGCAAGCGUUACUCGGAAUUACUGGGCGUAAAGCGUGCGUAGGUGGUCGUUUAAGCCCGUUGUGAAAGCCCUGGGCUCAACCUGGGAACUGCAGUGGAUACUGGACGACUAGAGUGUGGUAGAGGGUAGCGGAAUUCCUGGUGUAGCAGUGAAAUGCGUAGAGAUCAGGAGGAACAUCCAUGGCGAAGGCAGCUACCUGGACCAACACUGACACU